This 119-nucleotide non-coding RNA is filed under the name Pelotomaculum thermopropionicum. Its description in RNAcentral is "MoCo sequence". It matches the Rfam family "Molybdenum/Tungsten riboswitch aptamer (Moco RNA motif)". Lineage: Bacteria; Bacillati; Bacillota; Clostridia; Eubacteriales; Desulfotomaculaceae. RNAcentral also lists the same sequence under 1 other name. The record is from RNAcentral.
AUACAAUUUAUUCUCCGAGCUUGGCAUGCCUAAGCAAGGUACGGCAGCCAAGCCGUUAGGGUACGGGCGGGAAACCCCCGUGCCUCCCGGUGCGGAAAGGAGAAGGCGGCUGUUUGGAA